Molecule: ribosomal RNA, 465 nt
Filed under: Vreelandella stevensii
Lineage: Bacteria; Pseudomonadati; Pseudomonadota; Gammaproteobacteria; Oceanospirillales; Halomonadaceae
Description: partial 16S ribosomal RNA
Rfam family: Bacterial small subunit ribosomal RNA
Source: RNAcentral
CCUACGGGAGGCUGCAGUGGGGAAUAUUGGACAAUGGGGGCAACCCUGAUCCAGCCAUGCCGCGUGUGUGAAGAAGGCCCUCGGGUUGUAAAGCACUUUCAGUGAGGAAGAACGCCUGGUGGUUAAUACCCAUCAGGAAAGACAUCACUCACAGAAGAAGCAACGGCUAACUCCGUGCCAGCAGCCGCGGUAAUACGGAGGGUGCGAGCGUUAAUCGGAAUUACUGGGCGUAAAGCGCGCGUAGGUGGCUUGAUAAGCCGGUUGUGAAAGCCCCGGGCUCAACCUGGGAACGGCAUCCGGAACUGUCAAGCUAGAGUGCAGGAGAGGAAGGUAGAAUUCCCGGUGUAGCGGUGAAAUGCGUAGAGAUCGGGAGGAAUACCAGUGGCGAAGGCGGCCUUCUGGACUGACACUGACACUGAGGUGCGAAAGCGUGGGUAGCAAACGGGAUUAGAUACCCCGGUAGUC